This 845-nucleotide ribosomal RNA is filed under the name uncultured bacterium. RNAcentral describes it as "bacterial SSU rRNA". It matches the Rfam family "Bacterial small subunit ribosomal RNA", at positions 56 to 905 of the family's 1533-position model. The record is from RNAcentral.
UGCAAGUCGAGUGCGCGUCCGUAGCAAUACGGAUGGCGCACGGCGCACGGGUGCGUAACACGUGGGCAAUCUGCCCUUCGAUGGGGAAUAACUCCGGGAAACCGAAGCUAAUUCCGCAUAACAUUCCUUGGACCUCGGUUCGAGGACUCAAAGCCGUAAGGCGUCGAAGGAGGAGCCCGCGCCCGAUUAGCUAGUUGGUGAGGUAACGGCUCACCAAGGCAAUGAUCGGUAGCUGGUCUGAGAGGAUGGCCAGCCACACUGGAACUGAGACACGGUCCAGACUCCUACGGGAGGCAGCAGUGGGGAAUCUUGCGCAAUGGGCGAAAGCCUGACGCAGCGACGCCGCGUGGGGGAUGAAGCAUCUCGGUGUGUAAACCCCUUUCGACUGGGACGAAUACCUCGCAAGAGGGGUGACGGUACCAGUAGAAGAAGCCCCGGCUAACUACGUGCCAGCAGCCGCGGUAAGACGUAGGGGGCCAGCGUUGUUCGGAAUUACUGGGUGUAAAGGGUUCGUAGGCGGUGUGGCAAGUCGGGAGUGAAAUCUAUGGGCUUAACCCAUAGGCUGCUUCCGAAACUGCCGUGCUUGAGUGUGGGAGAGGCGCGUGGAAUUGCAGGUGUAGCGGUGAAAUGCGUAGAUAUCUGCAGGAACACCCGUGGCGAAAGCGGCGCGCUGGACCACUACUGACGCUGAGGAACGAAAGCUAGGGGAGCAAACAGGAUUAGAUACCCUGGUAGUCCUAGCCCUAAACGAUCAGGACUUGGGGUGCACCCGUUCGGGUGUCGUCCCGGAGCUAACGCGUUAAGUCCUGCACCUGGGGAGUACGGUCGCAAGACUGAAACUCAAA